This 253-nucleotide ribosomal RNA is filed under the name uncultured bacterium. RNAcentral's name for it is "partial 16S ribosomal RNA". It matches the Rfam family "Bacterial small subunit ribosomal RNA", at positions 524 to 776 of the family's 1533-position model. The record is from RNAcentral.
UACGUAGGGGGCUAGCGUUGUCCGGAUUUAUUGGGCGUAAAGAGCGUGUAGGCGGCCAGGUAGGUCUGGUGUGAAAACUCGAGGCUUAACCUCGAGAUGUCAUCGGAAACCAUUUGGCUAGAGUCCGGAAGAGGAGAGUGGAAUUCCUGGUGUAGCGGUGAAAUGCGCAGAUAUCAGGAGGAACACCUGUGGCGAAAGCGGCUCACUGGACCACAACUGACGCUGAGGCGCGAAAGCUAGGGGAGCAAACAGG